RNAcentral lists this ribosomal RNA (830 nucleotides) under Neurospora cerealis. RNAcentral's name for it is "eukaryotic LSU rRNA". It matches the Rfam family "Eukaryotic large subunit ribosomal RNA", at positions 73 to 936 of the family's 3401-position model. Lineage: Eukaryota; Fungi; Ascomycota; Sordariomycetes; Sordariales; Sordariaceae. The record is from RNAcentral.
GAUUGCCCUAGUAACGGCGAGUGAAGCGGCAACAGCUCAAAUUUGAAAUCUGGCUUCGGCCCGAGUUGUAAUUUGUAGAGGAAGCUUUUGGUGAGGCACCUUCUGAGUCCCCUGGAACGGGGCGCCAUAGAGGGUGAGAGCCCCGUAUAGUCGGAUGCCGAUCCAAUGUAAAGCUCCUUCGACGAGUCGAGUAGUUUGGGAAUGCUGCUCAAAAUGGGAGGUAAAUUUCUUCUAAAGCUAAAUACCGGCCAGAGACCGAUAGCGCACAAGUAGAGUGAUCGAAAGAUGAAAAGCACUUUGAAAAGAGGGUUAAAUAGCACGUGAAAUUGUUGAAAGGGAAGCGUUUGUGACCAGACUUGCGCCGUUCCGAUCAUCCGGUGUUCUCACCGGUGCACUCGGGACGGCACAGGCCAGCAUCGGUUUUGGUGGGGGGACAAAGGCCCUGGGAACGUAGCUCCUCCGGGAGUGUUAUAGCCCAGGGCGUAAUGCCCUCGCCGGGACCGAGGUUCGCGCAUCUGCAAGGAUGCUGGCGUAAUGGUCACCAACGACCCGUCUUGAAACACGGACCAAGGAGUCAAGGUUUUGCGCGAGUGUUUGGGUGUAAAACCCGCACGCGUAAUGAAAGUGAACGUAGGUGAGAGCUUCGGCGCAUCAUCGACCGAUCCUGAUGUAUUCGGAUGGAUUUGAGUAAGAGCGUUAAGCCUUGGACCCGAAAGAUGGUGAACUAUGCUUGGAUAGGGUGAAGCCAGAGGAAACUCUGGUGGAGGCUCGCAGCGGUUCUGACGUGCAAAUCGAUCGUCAAAUCUGAGCAUGGGGGCGAAAGACUAAUC